AGAGUUUGAUCAUGGCUCAGAACGAACGCUGGCGGCGCGCUUAAUACAUGCAAGUCGAACGAGAAGGUGUAGCAAUACACUUGUAAAGUGGCGAACGGGUGAGGAAUACAUGGGUAACCUACCCUCGAGUGGGGAACAACCAGCCGAAAGGUUGGCUAAUACCGCGUACGCUUCCGGAUCUUCGGAUUCGGAAGGAAAGUCAUACCGUGGGUAUGACGCUCAAGGAUGGGCUCAUGUCCUAUCAGCUUGUUGGUAGGGUAACGGCCUACCAAGGCUCCGACGGGUAGCUGGUCUGAGAGGACGAUCAGCCACACUGGCACUGCGACACGGGCCAGACUCCUACGGGAGGCAGCAGUAAGGAAUAUUGCGCAAUGGGCGAAAGCCUGACGCAGCGACGCCGCGUGGGGGAUGAAGGUCUUCGGAUUGUAAACCCCUUUCGGGAGGGAAAAUGGAACGAGCAAUCGUUCGGAUGGUACCUCCAGAAGCAGC
Molecule: ribosomal RNA, 489 nt
Filed under: uncultured Nitrospira sp.
Lineage: Bacteria; Pseudomonadati; Nitrospirota; Nitrospiria; Nitrospirales; Nitrospiraceae
Description: bacterial SSU rRNA
Rfam family: Bacterial small subunit ribosomal RNA
Source: RNAcentral